Molecule: non-coding RNA, 47 nt
Organism: Schistosoma mansoni
Lineage: Eukaryota; Metazoa; Platyhelminthes; Trematoda; Strigeidida; Schistosomatidae
Source: Rfam
AUGCAGUUGACGAGUCCCAAAAAUAGAACGAAACGCGCGUUCUGGAU